RNAcentral lists this ribosomal RNA (472 nucleotides) under uncultured bacterium. RNAcentral describes it as "partial 16S ribosomal RNA". It matches the Rfam family "Bacterial small subunit ribosomal RNA", at positions 28 to 523 of the family's 1533-position model. The record is from RNAcentral.
GACGAACGCUGGCGGCGUGCUUAACACAUGCAAGUCGAGCGAGAAACCUUCGGGUUUCUAGCGGCGGACGGAUGAGUAACACGUGGGUAACCUGCCUCAAAGAGGGGGAUAGCCUUCCGAAAGGAAGAUUAAUACCGCAUAAUAUUACAGUUUCGCAUGAAGCAGUAAUUAAAGGAGUAAUCCGCUUUGAGAUGGACCCGCGGCGCAUUAGCUAGUUGGAGAGGUAACGGCUCACCAAGGCAACGAUGCGUAGCCGACCUGAGAGGGUGAUCGGCCACAUUGGAACUGAGACACGGUCCAGACUCCUACGGGAGGCAGCAGUGGGGAAUAUUGCACAAUGGGCGAAAGCCUGAUGCAGCAACGCCGCGUGAGUGAUGAAGGUCUUCGGAUUGUAAAGCUCUGUCUUUUGGGACGAUAAUGACGGUACCAAAGGAGGAAGCCACGGCUAACUACGAGCCAGCCGCCGCGGUAA